Molecule: long non-coding RNA, 302 nt
Filed under: Ananas comosus (pineapple)
Lineage: Eukaryota; Viridiplantae; Streptophyta; Magnoliopsida; Poales; Bromeliaceae
Description: long non-coding RNA (ACOM_LNC033339)
Source: RNAcentral
AUCAUUUUAUUAAAUGGCAUUAGAGUUCGAGCUUUAUCCAUACAUAUCCAUACACCAUUUACAAUCACAUUUAUUUCAUCAUAAUUAUCUAUAAAUCCAUAUCUAUCAUUUUAAAAUAUUUUUCACCCGAAAACUCAUUUUGAAACACUAAGUCAUGAAAACCAGGAAAAAUCUUUGUAAAACCGUUUUCCACACGGAAACCUCUUUCCUUUAAAACACACUACCACGAGGGGUAGAAAACCGUUUUCAUUUCAUUAGAAAACCAUAAUCACAUUAUUCAUUUCACAAAACCGCGUGAAUCC